UACGAAGGGGGCUAGCGUUGCUCGGAAUCACUGGGCGUAAAGGGUGCGUAGGCGGGUCUUUAAGUCAGGGGUGAAAUCCUGGAGCUCAACUCCAGAACUGCCUUCGAUACUGGCGAUCUCGAGUCCGGAAGAGGUGAGUGGAACUCCUAGUGUAGAGGUGGAAUUCGUAGAUAUUAGGAAGAACACCAGGUGCGAAGGCGGU
Molecule: ribosomal RNA, 202 nt
Filed under: uncultured bacterium
Lineage: Bacteria
Description: partial 16S ribosomal RNA
Rfam family: Bacterial small subunit ribosomal RNA
Source: RNAcentral